This 77-nucleotide transfer RNA is filed under the name Chloroflexota bacterium. Its description in RNAcentral is "tRNA-Arg". It matches the Rfam family "tRNA". Rfam says of the family: Transfer RNA (tRNA) molecules are approximately 80 nucleotides in length. Their secondary structure includes four short double-helical elements and three loops (D, anti-codon, and T loops). The record is from RNAcentral. Lineage: Bacteria; Bacillati; Chloroflexota. RNAcentral also lists the same sequence under 2 other names.
GCGCUUGUAGCUCAGUUGGAUAGAGUGCAGCCCUGCGAAGGCUGAGGCCGUGGGUUCGAAUCCCGCCAAGCGCGCCA